Long non-coding RNA from Patella vulgata (common limpet), 3554 nucleotides. RefSeq lists it as uncharacterized. The transcript is spliced from 6 exons. Lineage: Eukaryota; Metazoa; Mollusca; Gastropoda; Patellidae. The record is from RefSeq and is a predicted model, not a curated record.
UUUGCCUAGUCGUUCGGAUGCGACGGGAAUUCGACAUCCAUCUGUAUAUAGAUUGGUUUACACGUAAAAAAUAGGAAAGGUAUUUCGCGCUUCGGUAAUGCAUUUACGUCGCUUUCCUGGAAAAUAUAGCUGGGGUUAAUAUUCAAUCAACAGCAAGACGUAAUAGCAGAAUCGGGAGAAGUAUAACAUACGCAACUAUGGCGGCAACAGACGCGGAAGUGACAAUAACUGUAGAAAGUGCGAGUUUAUUAUCAGAAGAACAAACAAAGAAGAAGAAGAAGGGUAAAAAGAGAGAUAAAGAAAUGGACGCAGAAAUUCGAGAGCUAUUUCGUAUAUUCGACAAAAACCACGAUAAUACAAUCUCCUCUAAUGAAUUAGGCAAAGUUUUAAAAUGUAUGGGUAUAGAGAUGCCAGACCAAGAUAUACAUAUGUAUAUGGAGGAAUUAGAUAAAGAAGGGAAUGGUAGAAUAGAAUAUCGAGAGUUUCAUACUUUUAUGCAAGAAGAGUUAAAGAAAGUAGAUGACCCUGAACAUCAAGAACAGACAGUGAGGAGCGCCUUUAGGGUUUUUGACAAGCAAUCAGAAGGUUUAAUUGGACUGACAGAGUUUAAAUCAGCCAUGAAAAACCUUGGAGAGCCUCUCACUGAUGAAGAACUAGAAGACAUCAUUAAUAUGGCAAAAGUUAAUGAAGAGGGCAAAAUAGAUUAUGAGGAAUUUAUAAAGGUAUGGUUACAAAGGAAACCCAGUGAGAAAGAGUGACGGUAUCAUAUUGUCUACGUCAUCUUAUAUUGGUGCUGCUGAUUGGUUAUAUUGCUCAAACUCGCUAGCCUUGUUCAUCCAGUAAACCCACUUCAUUUUAGUUUUUCAUCUUCGAUAUUGUAUUUUGAUAAUUUGUGUCCAUUGUUUACAUUUUAUGCUAACGCAUUUUAAGGUUGCCAUUACCUUUGUGCAUCUCCCGCCUGCCGCUAUGUUGUUUACAUUCUUUACUGUGGCGUUUUCCAAACUUGCUGGAAUUAUUGUUCUGGUAAUGGAAUAAUUGUUUUGGCGACACUGGCUCUAUCAUUGAAUUCUUCUUUUUAAUCGGGUGAUAUUCCUAAACCAUUGUCGAAAUUCCGAGUCGCGAGUUGUCAUACUAUUACCCUCACUAUUAAAUGGCUUUUCAAACUUUCCUAAUUCAAAUCGUGAUAGAAUUUAUGAAUUGCAUUGACGAGUAUCCUGUAUAUGGGUGUGUUUUGGGUGUUUUAAUACCUAACAUUUAAAAAAAGUAUUAUCAUUAUUUAGUAAUGUAUAAUUUUAUGUGCAACGGGCUUUUUCAACCACGAGAGGUCUUAUACGCCACUGUAAUAGAAUAAUUAUGACAACACGUAAUAAUCCAGUUAAAUUAUGCUUUAUCACCGCUUACGUUGGGUUUAAAAUUUUAUCAACAUAUUUUUCUAUUCAAAUGCAAAUUCCAUUUGAGUGCCUUUGUUAGUAAAGAAUCAUAGGUAGAUGUUAGCUUAAUGUAUAUAUACGACUAUUUCUCGUUACCAAUAUUGCAACCGGUCUCGUAAACUGGCCAUCACUUUUGGUUUAUUCAAACGGAUUCAGUGACGAAAAUAGUGCUAAGCGCGGAUAAUGUAAAACUGCCCUUGUACCAUUUCGAAGAAGAAAAAAACAACACUUACGCUGAUCUGCUCUUUUUUUAUGAAAACGUUGAUGUAUUCAACAGUAACGUAACUCUGAAUAGUAAAUUAAACGCAUAUCGGUGGCACCAUCGUGACCAAACAAAUGUUACAAUACAAGUUCGUAGGUCCCCUCCUGAAUAGUAAAUUAAAUGCUUUUGACAACAAAAUUGUUACAUAUAAAGGGACACCAGAUUCCUUGUACCUCAUGACACGUCGUGCUUUAAUAAAUGCUUCAGUUUUUCUACUUCGACCCAUUGCAAAAGCUUCUUGCCACCACAUAUGACUCAAGGGACAAAACUCUUCAGUACAACUUACCACUUAUAGCUAAACAUGCAUCCCUAUUAUUAUAUUCUACAAAUAAUUACAAAAUUAUGCUUUCUCAAAAUCAGCAGAUUCCCCCCCCCCCAAAAAAAAAAAACCCAAACAAACCCUUCACCAAAAUAAUGUAUUUCCACUGCAUAAUUUUGCGAUCCGACAAACAACAUUAUCAUUUAAUUUUAUAAAUACAUGUAUAUUUAUAGCGUGGGAUAUGACUACCACGUAUGAAAGUUGUCCUUUUCUAUUUCAAAUAUAUUGCCUCUUUAUUACCAUUGAGCAGUGGAUCUUUCCGAGGGCCACUUACUAAAUACAACUUUAAUGGCACUAAUUUAUUUUUUAUUACAGUGCUUUCUUUUUCUAGAACGCCUGAUACCAUUUUAAAGUUAUGUGAGAAGUUCACAUAUUUGUACUUUUGUAUCAUACAUAUUUUGUUUUAUUUAUAAACAUGUUCUUUCUAAUGCUAAUAUCUUGCAUUUAUAUUAAGAACAAUGAUUGGGCAGAUGCUUUUAAUGUCCGAUUUAUUUAAGACGCAUUAUAAGAGCUAAACCUGUCUAUUGCAAAUCGUUUUUCUAGUUUCAAAUGGUAAAUAAAUAAAAUAUAAAUUUAUUCAGAUGGCUAGUCAAUAAUCAACUAUCUGAUGGCUAAGUUAUUGAAUGGACUAGACAUCUUCAUUAAACGUUGAUACAGACUCCACGCACCAAGACUACCGAGUGGUGGACUGAAAAUGGAGACGUAAUUCGCAGACCAAAGUUGUUUUUAUGACGUUAAAGAGCAUCGUAGUCUCAGUUUAUGGUAACCUUUACCAGUCACAAUGUGCUUAGACUUAUACUUGACUUGUGCUUUUGUAAGAAUGGUCAUGAGAAUUUUCUAGGGACGGUAUUUUUAUAAGUUUCUUACGUAAAAAAAGAAAAAGUGAAGCAUGACUUUGUUUCAAUUACCUUCCUUUUUCACUACCUUUUUUUUUUAGUAUAGAACGAACGACCGUUUCAUUGAAUUCUUGCAUACUGCAUCUUUAAGUUUAUGGAUAAUUUAAGGUUUUCCUUCCCAAACUCUCCGAUUAUAUUACACAGAACUUCAAUGAAUGAACCGCUUCAAUGAAUGCACCAAUUCUAGCGGCGGUGCAUCUAUUCCUGAUAGACCCGCGUAAAAUGGACACGCUUUGCAAAAAGUGGCUAGACGAACAUUGAUCUUGACAAAUAUUAAGCAAUAUUCUAAAAGCCACGCAGUCAUUGUGUUAACGGUAGACAUGACCAACCAUAUACACAAUUCAUUCUCUUCUGUCUAACCGAAUGUAUUUGGUCAACUUAACAGGGAUGUGGGUUUGAUCAACCAGAAUGUGGCACUAUUAUCAACAUUUUUACACAUAUCUUCCUACUUCUGUUUUUGUGUGUUUAUUCCAAACACGAUCUAUGCUGUCUACAAAUUAUGUGUAACAUACAAUAUUGAAUUAUAUAUUCUACAAUUGUAUAUUUAUUUUAUUUUUCUAUUUUUAUUAAAUUUGAUUAAAUAUUAUAAUUGUGUAUACUGUGUAUAUAUAAGAAUUAUUAUUUGAUUAAAAUUAUAUGUAUGUUUU